This 18-nucleotide microRNA is filed under the name Chiloscyllium plagiosum (whitespotted bambooshark). RNAcentral's name for it is "microRNA PC-5p-1333926_1". Lineage: Eukaryota; Metazoa; Chordata; Chondrichthyes; Orectolobiformes; Hemiscylliidae. The record is from RNAcentral.
GAAGAUGAUGAGGAUGAU